ACUCCUACGGGAGGCAGCAGUAGGGAAUCUUCCACAAUGGGCGCAAGCCUGAUGGAGCAACACCGCGUGAGUGAAGAAGGGUUUCGGCUCGUAAAGCUCUGUUGUUAAAGAAGAACACGUAUGAGAGUAACUGUUCAUACGUUGACGGUAUUUAACCAGAAAGUCACGGCUAACUACGUGCCAGCAGCCGCGGUAAUACGUAGGUGGCAAGCGUUAUCCGGAUUUAUUGGGCGUAAAGAGAGUGCAGGCGGUUUUCUAAGUCUGAUGUGAAAGCCUUCGGCUUAACCGGAGAAGUGCAUCGGAAACUGGAUAACUUGAGUGCAGAAGAGGGUAGUGGAACUCCAUGUGUAGCGGUGGAAUGCGUAGAUAUAU
This 372-nucleotide ribosomal RNA is filed under the name uncultured bacterium. RNAcentral's name for it is "bacterial SSU rRNA". It matches the Rfam family "Bacterial small subunit ribosomal RNA", at positions 335 to 699 of the family's 1533-position model. The record is from RNAcentral.